This 716-nucleotide ribosomal RNA is filed under the name Escherichia coli. Its description in RNAcentral is "partial 23S ribosomal RNA". It matches the Rfam family "Bacterial large subunit ribosomal RNA", at positions 524 to 1239 of the family's 2925-position model. The record is from RNAcentral. Lineage: Bacteria; Pseudomonadati; Pseudomonadota; Gammaproteobacteria; Enterobacterales; Enterobacteriaceae.
CCCCGGCGAGGGGAGUGAAAAAGAACCUGAAACCGUGUACGUACAAGCAGUGGGAGCACAGAGCAAUCUGUGUGACUGCGUACCUUUUGUAUAAUGGGUCAGCGACUUAUAUUCUGUAGCAAGGUUAACCGAAUAGGGGAGCCGAAGGGAAACCGAGUCUUAACUGGGCGUUAAGUUGCAGGGUAUAGACCCGAAACCCGGUGAUCUAGCCAUGGGCAGGUUGAAGGUUGGGUAACACUAACUGGAGGACCGAACCGACUAAUGUUGAAAAAUUAGCGGAUGACUUGUGGCUGGGGGUGAAAGGCCAAUCAAACCGGGAGAUAGCUGGUUCUCCCCGAAAGCUAUUUAGGUAGCGCCUCGUGAAUUCAUCUCCGGGGGUAGAGCACUGUUUCGGCAAGGGGGUCAUCCCGACUUACCAACCCGAUGCAAACUGCGAAUACCGGAGAAUGUUAUCACGGGAGACACACGGCGGGUGCUAACGUCCGUCGUGAAGAGGGAAACAACCCAGACCGCCAGCUAAGGUCCCAAAGUCAUGGUUAAGUGGGAAACGAUGUGGGAAGGCCCAGACAGCCAGGAUGUUGGCUUAGAAGCAGCCAUCAUUUAAAGAAAGCGUAAUAGCUCACUGGUCGAGUCGGCCUGCGCGGAAGAUGUAACGGGGCUAAACCAUGCACCGAAGCUGCGGCAGCGACACUGUGUGUUGUUGGGUAGGGGAGCGU